RNAcentral lists this ribosomal RNA (400 nucleotides) under phytoplankton environmental sample. RNAcentral's name for it is "partial small subunit ribosomal RNA". It matches the Rfam family "Eukaryotic small subunit ribosomal RNA", at positions 587 to 985 of the family's 1831-position model. The record is from RNAcentral.
AGCUCUGUAAGCGUAUAUCAAAGUUGUUGCAGUUAAAACGCUCGUAGUCGAAUCUUGGCUGAACUUACGCGGAGUCCGCAAGGAUUCUGCGGUUGAGGAAAGCCUUUGUGGAUUGUGUGCGCGGAGGUGUUUUAUUACACUUCCGUUGUACUGCCACCGUUUACUGUGAAAAAAUUAGAGUGUUCAAAGCAAGCGAUUUGCCCUGAAUACAUUAGCAUGGAAUAAUGGAACAGGACUACGGUCACUGCACUUUUCCGUUGGUUUCGGAGGGCCGAAGUAAUGAUUAAGAGGGACAGUUGGGGGCAUCCGUAUUUCGCAGUCAGAGGUGAAAUUCUUGGAUCUGCGAAAGACGAACGAGUGCGAAAGCAUUUGCCAAGAGUGUUUUCAUUAAUCAAGAACG